RNAcentral lists this ribosomal RNA (398 nucleotides) under uncultured bacterium. RNAcentral's name for it is "partial 16S ribosomal RNA". It matches the Rfam family "Bacterial small subunit ribosomal RNA", at positions 523 to 919 of the family's 1533-position model. The record is from RNAcentral.
AUACGUAGGUGACAAGCGUUAUCCGGAUUUACUGGGCGUAAAGGGCGUGUAGGCGGUCUUGCAAGUCAGAAGUGAAAUUCCUGAGCUCAACUCGGGCGCUGCUUCUGAAACUGCAGGACUUGAGUGCUGGAGGGGAUAGCGGAAUUCCUAGUGGAGCGGUAAAAUGCGCAGAUAUUAGGAAGAACACCGGUGGCGAAGGCGGCUAUCUGGACAUUACCUGACGCUGAGGCGCGAAAGAGUGGGGAGCAAACAGGAUUAGAUACCCUGGUAGUCCACGCCGUAAACGAUGAGUACUAGGUGUAGGGGGUAUCGACUCCCUCUGUGCCGCAGUUAACACAAUAAGUAUUCCGCCUGGGGAGUACGGCCGCAAGGUUGAAACUUAAAGGAAUUGACGGGGG